Molecule: ribosomal RNA, 479 nt
Filed under: Heterorhabditis zealandica
Lineage: Eukaryota; Metazoa; Nematoda; Chromadorea; Rhabditida; Heterorhabditidae
Description: eukaryotic LSU rRNA
Rfam family: Eukaryotic large subunit ribosomal RNA
Source: RNAcentral
GGAAAGUUGCAAAGAACUUUGAAGAGAGAGUUCAAGAGAACGUGAAAUCGCUGAAGUGGAACCGGAGAGAGUUAACUUAACUUGGUAGCUAUAUUCUCUAGGGUCGCUUAACUGUGGCUGUGGGGGAUGGACGCUACCUGUUGUUGCACUGACUGCGUUGAUCGUGCUUUCCGAACAGUGUAGCGUUGCCCACUUUGUGGUGUCUUGCUCGCUGGGAGGUUUGUCAUGGUUAACGUAUAGCCUUAGUCCCGAGGGAGUCAGUGUGAAAGUUAACCACCUUUCCGACCCGUCUUGAAACACGGACCGAGGAGUGUUGGUUAUACGCGAGUCAAGGAGUGGUGAAAACUCUAGGGGCGGAAUGAAAGUAAAGACUAGUUAACUAGUUGACAUGGGAUCCGCUCUUCGGAGCGGCGCACCAUGGCCCUGUCUUGUCUGCUUGCAGAUGGGCAGCGGUAGAGCGUAUAGCUUGCGACCCGAAA